Molecule: ribosomal RNA, 492 nt
Filed under: uncultured bacterium
Lineage: Bacteria
Description: partial 16S ribosomal RNA
Rfam family: Bacterial small subunit ribosomal RNA
Source: RNAcentral
AGUGAACGCUGGCGGUAGGCCUAACACAUGCAAGUCGAACGGCAGCACAGUAAGAGCUUGCUCUUACGGGUGGCGAGUGGCGGACGGGUGAGGAAUACAUCGGAAUCUACUUUUUCGUGGGGGAUAACGUAGGGAAACUUACGCUAAUACCGCAUACGACCUACGGGUGAAAGCAGGGGAUCUUCGGACCUUGCGCGAUUGAAUGAGCCGAUGUCGGAUUAGCUAGUUGGCGGGGUAAAGGCCCACCAAGGCGACGAUCCGUAGCUGGUCUGAGAGGAUGAUCAGCCACACUGGAACUGAGACACGGUCCAGACUCCCACGGGAGGCAGCAGUGGGGAAUAUUGGACAAAGGGCGCAAGCCUGAUCCAGCCCUACCGCGUGGGUGAAGAAGGCCUUCGGGUUGUAAAGCCCUUUUGUUGGGAAAGAAAAGCAGCAGGUUAAUACCCCGCUGUUCUGACGGUACCCAAAGAAUAAGCACCGGCUAACUUCGUG